CACAGUCUUAAACUAAAUUAACUUUAUAGAGGAUAGUUCUAUCAGUUCCAAACUUUCUCGCUCGAAGUUCAGUAAGGACCACCCUUAAACCUUCCCUUCUUCACCCCUCACAGCCAAAUAUAUAUUUUGUUUCUUUUCUUAAAUUUGCCUUUUCUUCAACUUGCUAUCACAUAUGUUAUCACCAGUGGUGUAGGUUUAAGAACGUUUACAUCACAUUCACUGCAGUCACCAGGAU
Molecule: non-coding RNA, 235 nt
Organism: Paramuricea clavata
Lineage: Eukaryota; Metazoa; Cnidaria; Anthozoa; Malacalcyonacea; Plexauridae
Source: the annotation of a GenBank genome assembly